This 892-nucleotide ribosomal RNA is filed under the name uncultured Bacillota bacterium. RNAcentral describes it as "bacterial SSU rRNA". It matches the Rfam family "Bacterial small subunit ribosomal RNA", at positions 8 to 881 of the family's 1533-position model. Lineage: Bacteria; Bacillati; Bacillota. The record is from RNAcentral.
AGAGUUUGAUUCUGGCUCAGGACGAACGCUGGCGGCGUGCCUAAUACAUGCAAGUAGAACGCUGAAGAGAGGAGCUUGCUCUUCUUGGAUGAGUUGCGAACGGGUGAGUAACGCGUAGGUAACCUGCCUUGUAGCGGGGGAUAACUAUUGGAAACGAUAGCUAAUACCGCAUAACAAUGGAUGACACAUGUCAUUUAUUUGAAAGGGGCAAUUGCUCCACUACAAGAUGGACCUGCGUUGUAUUAGCUAGUAGGUGAGGUAAUGGCUCACCUAGGCGACGAUACAUAGCCGACCUGAGAGGGUGAUCGGCCACACUGGGACUGAGACACGGCCCAGACUCCUACGGGAGGCAGCAGUAGGGAAUCUUCGGCAAUGGGGGCAACCCUGACCGAGCAACGCCGCGUGAGUGAAGAAGGUUUUCGGAUCGUAAAGCUCUGUUGUAAGUCAAGAACGGGUGUGAGAGUGGAAAGUUCACACUGUGACGGUAGCUUACCAGAAAGGGACGGCUAACUACGUGCCAGCAGCCGCGGUAAUACGUAGGUCCCGAGCGUUGUCCGGAUUUAUUGGGCGUAAAGCGAGCGCAGGCGGUUUGAUAAGUCUGAAGUUAAAGGCUGUGGCUCAACCAUAGUUCGCUUUGGAAACUGUCAAACUUGAGUGCAGAAGGGGAGAGUGGAAUUCCAUGUGUAGCNGNUGAAAUGCGUAGAUAUAUGGAGGAACACCGGUGGCGAAAGCGGCUCUCUGGUCUGUAACUGACGCUGAGGCUCGAAAGCGUGGGGAGCGAACAGGAUUAGAUACCCUGGUAGUCCACGCCGUAAACGAUGAGUGCUAGGUGUUGGAUCCUUUCCGGGAUUCAGUGCCGCAGCUAACGCAUUAAGCACUCCGCCUGGGGAGU